RNAcentral lists this transfer RNA (76 nucleotides) under Nitrososphaerota archaeon. RNAcentral describes it as "tRNA-Pro". It matches the Rfam family "tRNA". From Rfam's summary of the family: Transfer RNA (tRNA) molecules are approximately 80 nucleotides in length. Their secondary structure includes four short double-helical elements and three loops (D, anti-codon, and T loops). Lineage: Archaea; Thermoproteati; Nitrososphaerota. The record is from RNAcentral.
GGGGCUGUAGCACAGCCUGGCUCAAUGCCCCGGCCUCGGACGCCGGUGAUCGGGAGUUCGAAUCUCCCCAGCCCCA